UCCAAUCAUGAUUGGCCAAGUAACCAUGC
RNAcentral lists this non-coding RNA (29 nucleotides) under Rattus norvegicus (Norway rat). The record is from RNAcentral. Lineage: Eukaryota; Metazoa; Chordata; Mammalia; Rodentia; Muridae.